Molecule: ribosomal RNA, 271 nt
Filed under: uncultured bacterium
Lineage: Bacteria
Description: partial 16S ribosomal RNA
Rfam family: Bacterial small subunit ribosomal RNA
Source: RNAcentral
GAGUUUGAUCUUGGCUCAGGAUGAACGCCGGCGGUGUGCCUAAUACAUGCAAGUCGUACGCACUGGCCCAACUGAUUGAUGAUGCUUGCACCUGAUUGACGAUGGAUCACCAGUGAGUGGCGGACGGGUGAGUAACACGUAGGUAACCUGCCCCGGAGCGGGGGAUAACAUUUGGAAACAGAUGCUAAUACCGCAUAACAACAAAAGCCACAUGGUCUUUUAGUUUAAAAAGAUGGUCUUUGGCUAUCACUCUGGGAUGGACCUGCGGUGC